AUUGAACGCUGGCGGCAUGCCUUACACAUGCAAGUCGAACGGCAGCACGGGAGCAAUCCUGGUGGCGAGUGGCGAACGGGUGAGUAAAGUAUCGGAACGUGCCCAGUCGUGGGGGAUAACGUAGCGAAAGUUACGCUAAUACCGCAUACGAUCUAUGGAUGAAAGCGGGGAUCGCAAGACCUCGCGCGAUUGGAGCGGCCGAUAUCAGAUUAGGUAGUUGGUGGGGUAAAGGCUCACCAAGCCGACGAUCUGUAGCUGGUCUGAGAGGACGACCAGCCAAACUGGGACUGAGACACGGCCCAGACUCCUACGGGAGGCAGCAGUGGGGAAUUUUGGACAAUGGGCGAAAGCCUGAUCCAGCCAUGCCGCGUGCAGGAUGAAGGCCUUCGGGUUGUAAACUGCUUUUGUACGGAACGAAAAGGUUUGGCCUAAUAAGCUGAGCUCAUGACGGUACCGUAAGAAUAAGCACCGGCUAACUACGUGCCAGCAGCCGCGGUAA
RNAcentral lists this ribosomal RNA (499 nucleotides) under uncultured bacterium. Its description in RNAcentral is "partial 16S ribosomal RNA". It matches the Rfam family "Bacterial small subunit ribosomal RNA", at positions 30 to 523 of the family's 1533-position model. The record is from RNAcentral.